CCUACGGGAGGCUGCAGUGGGGAAUAGUGGACAAUGGGGGAAACCCUGAUCCAGCGACGCCGCGUGAGUGAAGAAGUAUUUCGGUACGUAAAGCUCUAUCAGCAGGAAAGAAAAUGACGGUACCUGACGAAGAAGCACCGGCGAACUACGUGCCAGCAGCCGAGGGAAUACGUAGGGGGCAAGCGUAAUCCGGAGUUAUUGGGUUAAAAGGGGGCGUCGGCGGCGGCGUAAGUCAGCGGUAAAAUUGCGGGGCGCAACCUCGUCGAGCCGUUGAAACGGGGUGCCUUGAGUGGGCGAGACGUACGCGGAUUGCGUGGUGUCGCGGUUAAAUGCAUAGAUCUCACGCAGAACUCCGAUUGCGAAGGCAGCGUACCGGCGCCCAACUGACGCUGAAGCACGAAGGCGUGGGUAUCGAACAGGAUUAGAUACCCCAGUAGUC
RNAcentral lists this ribosomal RNA (439 nucleotides) under uncultured bacterium. RNAcentral describes it as "partial 16S ribosomal RNA". It matches the Rfam family "Bacterial small subunit ribosomal RNA", at positions 338 to 795 of the family's 1533-position model. The record is from RNAcentral.